AUGUACAAGGCUCCACCCACGCAGGAACAGGACAGGUCUCAUUGUAAUCCACCUGGAUCUCCCACAUACAGGCAGCAGCUCUUCUGCAGGAGGGCCUGUCCUGUAAGCCCAUAUUCCCGAUGGGAUACAGUAGAGCUUCUUGUCAGGAGCAGCACAGGCCAGCACAGGGAGCCCUCCUCUUCCUCUCGGCACAGUGAGGCACAGUCUCUCGGCACAGUGAGGCACAGUGAGGCGCAGUCUCUUGGCACAGUGAGGCAGUCUCUCAGCACAGUGAGGCAGUCUCUCGGCACAGUGAGGCGCAGUCUCUCAGUCCAGUGAGGCACAGUCUCUCGGCACAGUGAGGCACAGUCUCUCAGCACAGUGAGGCACAGUCUCUCAGCACAGUGAGGCAUAGUGAGGCACAGUCUCUCAGCACAGUGAGGCAGUCUCUCAGUCCAGUGAGGCGCAGUCUCUCGGCACAGUGAGGCACAGUCUCAUAUCACAGUGAGGCGCAGUCUCUCGGCACAGUGAGGCACAGUCUCUUAGCACAGUGAGGCACAGUCUCUUAGCACAGUGAGGCACAGUCUCUUAGCACAGUGAGGCAGUCUCUCAGUCCAGUGAGGCACAGUCUCUCAGUCCAGUGAGGCACAGUCUCUCGGCACAAUGAGACAGUCUCUUAGCACAGUGAGGCAGUCUCUCAGUCCAGUGAGGCACAGUCUCUCGGCACAGUGAGGCAGUCUCUCAGUCCAGUGAGGCACAGUCUCUCGGCACAGUGAGGCACAGUCUCUCGGCACAGUGAGGUGCACCCAGGCGCUCCUUCAGAGAGGCUACAGGCUGUUUUUCUUGGUCAGUGGAGCCUGGUCAGUGCUGAUGGAUUGGCAGUCUAUCAGGAAACAGAAUGCACACGUUACACACACACAGACACCUGAACCCCACCUGCCCCGUCUCCCCCAGUCCCUGCACACACUGACCUUCAGUCGCGGACGAGACGCUGAGCUCGGUCGCCUCCCUGUCCUCAGUCAGAGCUGCGGGGAGAAAUUGCAGCAGCAGAAUUGUUCAGUACAGGCAGAUGAGGCGAUGGCGAGCUUUUUUCUCAAUCACAACUGUGAACCCAGCCCUAACUCUGACCUCCGACCCCAAUACCUACCUUGUUCCCAUCCAUCUGACCUCUGACCCUAGCCCACUCACUUGCUCUCAUCCCUGACGUCUAACACCAACAGCUGUCUUGAUCAGGUGUCUGGCCCCUGACCCCUGACCCCUGACCCCUGACCCCGCACACUCCUCACCGGUGCUCUCCUCGCCCGCCUCGCUGCAGGAGCUCAGGCUGUCCCGGCUGGGGGGGGCGGCGGGCUCCCAGACGAUGGUGCCGACUCUCUGCCGGAAGCGAUCCCGGGGCGUGGCCCGGUUGUCCCCGGGGCUGAAGGACUCCGAGAUGCCGUAGCGGGAGCUGAGCUUCCGGCGGCUGGAGCCCAGGAUCACGCGGCGCUCCUCCAGCAUGCUCUGGGAGCUGGGAGCCUUGCGCAAGGGCGAGGGCGAGACGGGGGCACUGCGGGGGUCUGGAGCCAGAGAGACAGAGAGAGAGGGGCCGGAUGAGAUCCACAGAUCCUGCAGAUCCACAGGUCCUGCAG
Molecule: long non-coding RNA, 1607 nt
Filed under: Lepisosteus oculatus (spotted gar)
Lineage: Eukaryota; Metazoa; Chordata; Actinopteri; Semionotiformes; Lepisosteidae
Description: lncRNA (ENSLOCG00000023265.1)
Source: RNAcentral